GCGCCAGCCUAGUGCCCCUGGCGCCGCGUUCCGAGCCAGUUUUGGAAAUGGUCUUGUGGAGUGUGGCGCCGUGGGUUCUUGCCCUAGCGGAUAUGCAUCCAUGGAAGGACCUGUGUGAAAUAGAAGGGAAAAGUGCAACUUUCGUGAGCUGUAAACGCCCGAAAUACACCAGAUAAACUAGUAUUCCAGUAUGCCGCUCUUCCAGUGUUUUCAAUGAGCAUAAGCUUUUAUCAGAAAACACGUAAUUAGACUAAGUGCUCAGUGACCUUUUGGCUUUGGAGCAUCCCUCAGGCAAAUCUGAGAAAUUAACGUGCGGCUCCGCGGUCACCUUUGCUCCGCGGUGAUUGGCCUGCAGCGGGGUCCUCGUGUUUGUCCAAUAUGGCGGCGCCCAGUGGCGGUGUGAACUGUGAGGAGUUCGCCGAGUUCCAGGAAUUACUCAAGGUGAUGAGGACAAUUGAUGACAGAAUAGUACAUGAAUUAAACACUACGGUUCCAACAGCUUCCUUUGCAGGGAAAAUUGAUGCCAGCCAAACCUGUAAACAACUUUAUGAGUCUUUGAUGGCAGCUCAUGCCAGUAGAGACAGAGUCAUAAAAAAUUGUAUAGCCCAGACCUCAGCAGUAGUAAAAAACCUCCGGGAAGAGAGAGAAAAGAAUUUGGAUGAUUUAACGUUAUUAAAGCAACUUAGAAAAGAGCAGACAAAGUUUGCUGUGAAGAUUAUGGAAUCAGAGAGAGCUCUUGGAGAUGGUACAACUCUACCUCUUCAUUUUCUAUCUGAGGAAAAAGACUCAGAGAUACUAACUGACACCCCCAAAGCCACAAGCUAUUGAAAUGGAUGCAGUCAGAACUGAAUGUUGAAGAAGUGGUAAAUGACAGGAGCUGGAAGGUGUUUAAUGAACGCUGCCGAAUUCACUUCAAGCCUCCAAAGAAUGAAUAAAGAGAGAUUCUUUUUUUUUUUUUUUUUUUUUAAAGGACUGGGUCAUCUCAUAAGAGCUAAGCAUGACAGAUAUCAACAGGGCGGGCUUCCUAGGAUGAUUUCUGAGCCAACAGUCCAAGACCUUUUGUUGAUUUCAGCCCCACUUAGCCAAGACCUCAAGUAUAAAUAAUUCUGAUAAUUAUGGAGAAAUCAACUGCUAUUUUAUACUGAUUCUGUAAAAAAAAAAAAAAAAGUUUUGUAACUAUUAAAAUAAUUUUCUGACUCAGUGUA
This is a non-coding RNA of Chlorocebus sabaeus (green monkey), 1205 nucleotides long. NCBI's taxonomy places the organism in Eukaryota, Metazoa, Chordata, Mammalia, Primates, Cercopithecidae. The record is from RefSeq and is a predicted model, not a curated record.